UACGGGGGGGGCAAGCGUUGUUCGGAAUUACUGGGCGUAAAGGGCUCGUAGGCGGCCAACUAAGUCAGACGUGAAAUCCCUCGGCUUAACCGGGGAACUGCAUCUGAUACUGGAUGGCUUGAGUUCGGGAGAGGGAUGCGGAAUUCCAGGUGUAGCGGUGAAAUGCGUAGAUAUCUGGAGGAACACCGGUGGCGAAGGCGGCAUCCUGGACCGACACUGACGCUGAGGCACGAAAGCUGGGGGAGCGAACAGG
Molecule: ribosomal RNA, 253 nt
Filed under: uncultured bacterium
Lineage: Bacteria
Description: partial 16S ribosomal RNA
Rfam family: Bacterial small subunit ribosomal RNA
Source: RNAcentral